Molecule: transfer RNA, 69 nt
Filed under: Marmota monax (woodchuck)
Lineage: Eukaryota; Metazoa; Chordata; Mammalia; Rodentia; Sciuridae
Description: tRNA.Pro
Source: RNAcentral
GUGGCUGUGGCUCAGUGGUAGAGCGCUCGCCCAGGAUGCGUGAGACACUGGGUUCCAUCCGCAGCCCCG